GAUGAACGCUGGCGGCGUGCCUAAUACAUGCAAGUCGAGCGAACAGACGAGGAGCUUGCUCCUCUGACGUUAGCGGCGGACGGGUGAGUAACACGUGGAUAACCUACCUAUAAGACUGGGAUAACUUCGGGAAACCGGAGCUAAUACCGGAUAAUAUAUUGAACCGCAUGGUUCAAUAGUGAAAGACGGUUUUGCUGUCACUUAUAGAUGGAUCCGCGCCGCAUUAGCUAGUUGGUAAGGUAACGGCUUACCAAGGCAACGAUGCGUAGCCGACCUGAGAGGGUGAUCGGCCACACGAGAACGGAAACACGGUCCAGACUCCUACGGGAGGCAGCAGUAGGGAAUCUUCCGCAAUGGGCGAAAGCCUGACGGAGCAACGCCGCGUGAGUGAUGAAGGUCUUCGGAUCGUAAAACUCUGUUAUUAGGGAAGAACAAAUGUGUAAGUAACUAUGCACGUCUUGACGGUACCUAAUCAGAAAGCCACGGCUAACUACGUG
RNAcentral lists this ribosomal RNA (497 nucleotides) under uncultured bacterium. RNAcentral describes it as "partial 16S ribosomal RNA". It matches the Rfam family "Bacterial small subunit ribosomal RNA", at positions 28 to 507 of the family's 1533-position model. The record is from RNAcentral.